RNAcentral lists this ribosomal RNA (398 nucleotides) under uncultured bacterium. RNAcentral describes it as "bacterial SSU rRNA". It matches the Rfam family "Bacterial small subunit ribosomal RNA", at positions 30 to 410 of the family's 1533-position model. The record is from RNAcentral.
AGCGAACGUUAGCGGCAGGCCUAACACAUGCAAGUCGAGCGAGAAAGGGGGUUUCGGCCCUGAGUAAAGCGGCGGACGGGUGCGUAACACGUGGAUAAUCUGCCCUUCGGCGGGGGAUAACAGUCCGAAAGGAUUGCUAAUACCGCAUGCGUCCAGGGAGGCUCCGGCUUUCCUGGGGAAAGGAGGGCGCCCGCAAGGGGCUCUCACCGGAGGAGGAGUCCGCGGCCCAUCAGCUAGUUGGCGGGUAACAGACCACCAAGGCGUAGACGGGUAGCUGGUCUGAGAGGAUGAUCAGCCACACUGGGACUGAGACACGGCCCAGACUCCUACGGGAGGCAGCAGUGGGGAAUAUUGGACAAUGGGCGCAAGCCUGAUCCAGCCAUACCGCGUGGGUGAAG